Molecule: transfer RNA, 72 nt
Filed under: Pituophis catenifer pumilus
Lineage: Eukaryota; Metazoa; Chordata; Lepidosauria; Squamata; Colubridae
Description: partial tRNA-Leu
Source: RNAcentral
UACUAAAGGAUAAUAGCAUUCCACUGGUCUUAGGCACCACAAUCCUUGGUGCAAAUCCAAAUCAAGCUUNUC